Molecule: unclassified non-coding RNA, 236 nt
Filed under: Hevea brasiliensis (rubber tree)
Lineage: Eukaryota; Viridiplantae; Streptophyta; Magnoliopsida; Malpighiales; Euphorbiaceae
Source: RNAcentral
UCUGUUAUCCUUUUUUUUUUUUUCCUUCACUUGUUAGAGAAUGUUUAAAUGGUGACUUGAGCAAAAAGGUCCUCUCAUCUUUAAUUAUGAGCAUCUUCAUUUUCUUAUAAUCUUACAGUUUUCAUAACUGAAACACGGAUGUUAAAGUAAAGAGUAUUGUACUAGUUAGCUGAUGAGGUUUGGCGAAAUACACAGGUUGGACCUUAUAUUUUUAGAACCUUAUGAUCGCAUUCCGG